RNAcentral lists this ribosomal RNA (1860 nucleotides) under Arthrobacter celericrescens. Its description in RNAcentral is "bacterial LSU rRNA". It matches the Rfam family "Bacterial large subunit ribosomal RNA", at positions 1213 to 2925 of the family's 2925-position model. The record is from RNAcentral. Lineage: Bacteria; Bacillati; Actinomycetota; Actinomycetes; Micrococcales; Micrococcaceae.
AUUUUCCAAGCCUUUGUGGUUCAGGAGUGUGGAUGGGUAGGGGAGCGUCGUGUGGGCGGUGAAGCUGCGGUGGAAACCAGUGGUGGAGCCUACACGAGUGAGAAUGCAGGCAUGAGUAGCGAAAGACGGGUGAGAAACCCGUCCGCCGAAUGAUCAAGGGUUCCAGGGUCAAGCUAAUCUGCCCUGGGUAAGUCGGGACCUAAGGCGAGGCCGACAGGCGUAGUCGAUGGACAACGGGUUGAUAUUCCCGUACCGGCGAAGAACCGCCCAUACUGAGCGGGGGAUACUAACCGCCCGAAGCCUGCCCGACCGUCCUUUGGACGGAAGGGUUUUGGUGGAGCGCGGGACCUGAUCCCGGGAGGUAAGCGUAUUAACAGGUGUGACGCAGGAAGGUAGCCGGGCCGGGCGAUGGUUGCCCCGGUCUAAGGAUGUAGGGCGAACGGUAGGCAAAUCCGCCGUUCAUGUGCCUGAGAUCUGAUGGGACUCCCGUUCGGGGGGAUCCGGUGAUCCUAUGCUGCCUAGAAAAGCAUCGGCGCGAGGUUCCAGCUGCCCGUACCCCAAACCGACACAGGUGAUCAGGUAGAGAAUACCAAGGCGAUCGAGAGAAUUAUGGUUAAGGAACUCGGCAAAAUGCCCCCGUAACUUCGGGAGAAGGGGGGCCCGGACCGUGAAGCCCACUUGCUGGGUGGAGCGGGUAAGGGCCGCAGAGACCAGGGGGAAGCGACUGUUUACUAAAAACACAGGUCCGUGCGAAGUCGCAAGACGAUGUAUACGGACUGACUCCUGCCCGGUGCUGGAAGGUUAAGAGGACCGGUUAGCCCUUCGUGGGCGAAGCUGAGAAUUUAAGCCCCAGUAAACGGCGGUGGUAACUAUAACCAUCCUAAGGUAGCGAAAUUCCUUGUCGGGUAAGUUCCGACCUGCACGAAUGGAGUAACGACUUCCCCGCUGUCUCAACCAUAAACUCGGCGAAAUUGCAGUACGAGUAAAGAUGCUCGUUACGCGCAGCAGGACGGAAAGACCCCGAGACCUUUACUAUAGUUUGGUAUUGGUGUUCGGAGUGGCUUGUGUAGGAUAGGUGGGAGACUGUGAAGCCCGGACGCCAGUUCGGGUGGAGUCAUCGUUGAAAUACCACUCUGGUCACUUUGGACAUCUAACUUCGGCCCGUGAUCCGGGUCAGGGACAGUGCCUGAUGGGUAGUUUAACUGGGGCGGUUGCCUCCUAAAAAGUAACGGAGGCGCCCAAAGGUUCCCUCAGCCUGGUUGGCAAUCAGGUGUCGAGUGUAAGUGCACAAGGGAGCUUGACUGUGAGAGAGACAUCUCAAGCAGGGACGAAAGUCGGGACUAGUGAUCCGGCGGUACAUUGUGGAAUGGCCGUCGCUCAACGGAUAAAAGGUACCUCGGGGAUAACAGGCUGAUCUUGCCCAAGAGUCCAUAUCGACGGCAUGGUUUGGCACCUCGAUGUCGGCUCGUCGCAUCCUGGGGCUGGAGUAGGUCCCAAGGGUUGGGCUGUUCGCCCAUUAAAGCGGUACGCGAGCUGGGUUUAGAACGUCGUGAGACAGUUCGGUCCCUAUCCGCUGCGCGCGCAGGAAAUUUGAGAAGGGCUGUCCUUAGUACGAGAGGACCGGGACGGACGAACCUCUGGUGUGUCAGUUGUACUGCCAAGUGCACCGCUGAUUAGCUACGUUCGGAUGGGAUAACCGCUGAAAGCAUCUAAGCGGGAAGCUCGCUUCAAGAUGAGAUUUCCAAACACGUAAGUGUUGAAGGCCCCCAGCCAGACCACUGGGUUGAUAGGCCGGACGUGGAAGACAGGACCAACGACUGUCGAAGCCGACCGGUACUAAUAGGCCGACAACUUACACCA